GACAGAGGGUGCAAACGUUGUUCGGAAUUACUGGGCGUAAAGCGCGUGUAGGCUGUUUUGCAAGUCGGAUGUGAAAGCCCUGGGCUCAACCUAGGAAGUGCACUCGAAACUGCAGAACUGGAGUCCUGGAGAGGAAGGCGGAAUUCUCGGUGUAGAGGUGAAAUUCGUAGAUAUCGAGAGGAACACCGGUGGCGAAGGCGGCCUUCUGGACAGUGACUGACGCUGAGACGCGAAAGCGUGGGGAGCAAACAGG
This 253-nucleotide ribosomal RNA is filed under the name uncultured bacterium. RNAcentral's name for it is "partial 16S ribosomal RNA". It matches the Rfam family "Bacterial small subunit ribosomal RNA", at positions 524 to 776 of the family's 1533-position model. The record is from RNAcentral.